GCGGCGCGGUGCGGCUGCGGCGGCGGGCCGGGCUCUCCGUACGCGCCGCCCGCGGGACUGCAGAGCCGGCUCCCGGCUGGCCGCGUGCACCCCGCCGCCCGCCACCGCGGUUCCGCCGGCGCUUGCGGUCACCCAGAAACAUGGAGGCUCCGGGAGCCCAUCGGGAAGGGCAACGUCACACCUGAGGACAGCCAGGAGGACUCCAGCUUUUGCUGAGCAUUGCAUCUUGCCUCCUUCCUUGCAAAGGCUCCAGACCCAAGCUCGGCUGUCCUCAAGUCCUGCGUGCCCCUGGCCAGGUGCCCCACUGCCCCUCCAGCUCAGCCUGGCCCUGGAGCUCACCUCCAGGACCUGGAGCCUGCCCUCCUGCCCAGAAUGACUCACCGUUAUUUCUAGCUCAAGUGAGAAGCCGUGAUGGGGAGUCAGGCUGCCUAUCUGUGUAUCUAGGAUUCCCGCAGCAUCAGAUCAGCUCUGCAAGGGAGAGUGCUUCAGAUUCCUGCCUUGCCAGCCAAGCGGGGCUGUCUCUCCGGGCCCUCAGAGAGCCCUGGGGGCUCUCCUGCAGGAGCCCAGGCCGAUGCUGCUGUAUUUCCUGGGGGCAAAGGCAGCACCCUGAGCUCCCUGCCACUGGGCAGCUAGAAGGCGUAGCACGAGG
Molecule: long non-coding RNA, 649 nt
Filed under: Camelus dromedarius (Arabian camel)
Lineage: Eukaryota; Metazoa; Chordata; Mammalia; Artiodactyla; Camelidae
Description: lncRNA (ENSCDRG00005001368.1)
Source: RNAcentral